UUUAGCAUCAAAUCAAAAGCCAUCAUAUUUUCUAGAAAUGAGAGACCCCAGGAAAGUGGACCUCAGGGCCCUCAGAAUUCUUCUUCUUGGCCCCCUUGAGUGGCCAGCUUGGGUGGGAGGCCACUCCAGUGGGUCUCAUUCUGCAGCAUGCUGGAGAGCUUCCACUUCCAAACCCAAGUUCAUACAUGCUUCUGUCUCCUUCCUGCCACCUUGCUCCUCUGAGCAUGGUCUCCGGUUGUCCAAGGCACUGCCUGUCCUGGGAGUCACCUAUAUGUGAGGCACCCUUGGUGCCUUGAGAUAUCAUGUAGAAGCCUUGGUUCUUCUCAGGCAACUCGAUUCAUGCAAACUCUCCCCCUCCUCCUAGCCUGGGUCCCAGGCUUUGUUUUUAUGGAUCCAUAAUGUCUGCCUGGGUGGACAGCAGCUUGGGCCCUGGUGCAGAAUAGCUCCUAGGUCCCUUCUUCAGGCUCCUACCCCUGCCCCUGCUCCUACCCCCAGGUGAAUUAGGAGCCCUGAGGAGGAGCCUGGCUGCAGCGAGGCCCACACACUGAGAGUAGCCGAGCUCCUUCUGUCCCUAGCCUGGGACAGCUGGGGCAUGUAGAGCCACAGAGCAGAGUCAGGCCCUGCCCUGCUCACAGCCCAAGGAGAGAGCAGACAUGGAAACAGGUGCUUUGAACCCAGCACAGCGAUGAUGAGAGUAGGGGAGAGGAUUGAGAAGGGUCAGGCCAGCCCCACCUGGUGCACACUGAGAGGGUGGUCCCAGAGGAGGGACAUUGUUUGAGCAGGCUCUGAAGGACCAUGAGGAGUCUUCCUGAUAGACAGCAGAGAAGGAAUCAGGGGUUACAAGCAAAGGGAGUGUUUCUUCUGAAUACUGUUUGUGUGAUAGCUCCACUGCAGCAUGGAGGGGUCAAAGUGUAUGUGCGGGGCAGAGGGGAGAUGGCAGGGUCGGAGUGGCAGCCAGGAGAAGAGUCACACUUUCCCAAGCUCCCUCCCCAGCUCACCCUACCCCUACUCUGCUUAGCCCUUCUGAACUUCUGAGAGGUGCAACAGAGUUUGGGGGUGGGUGGGAAUUUCCUAGCCAGAAGUGGGAAGCUGGGGCUGCCUGCACAUAGGGGUAUUCCAGCACACCCUAGGGCAAGCUCAUAUUGAGUUGGCACCAUCUGGAUGCCUGGGCUUCCCCUGCUAGAUGGUGGGGCAGGGGUGCUCCUUAGAACCACGACUGGAUCUGAGGCCUCUUGGUAACCCCAGAAGCAAGCAGAGUAGACAUCAGUCAUGGGUGUGGGAGAGGCAGGAGGGAGAGAGGAAUGGAGGAAGCAAAGAAGGGAAGGAGGGAGGGAGGGGAGGCUCUAAAACUGUCAUCCCUAUUCCAAUAUCCAAUCUUGAAUUGGCCUCAACACCUGUGCAUCCCUGCAGGGGUGGACCCAGUCCCCAGCUCCUUCCCAGGGAGUACGGGGGUGGGGUGGGGAUUCUCUGGCUUUCCUCCCUGCCCCUCCUCUGCAGGCUGAUGCUGGGCUUCAUGGGCGUCACAGCCCUCCUGUCCAUGUGGAUCAGUAACACGGCAACCACGGCCAUGAUGGUGCCCAUCGUGGAGGCCAUAUUGCAGCAGAUGGAAGCCACAAGCGCAGCCACCGAGGCCGGCCUGGAGCUGGUGGACAAGGGCAAGGCCAAGGAGCUGCCAGGGAGCCAAGUGAUUUUUGAAGGCCCCACUCUGGGGCAGCAGGAGGACCAAGAGCGGAAGAGGUUGUGUAAGGCCAUGACCCUGUGCAUCUGCUACGCGGCCAGCAUCGGGGGCACCGCCACCCUGACCGGGACAGGACCCAACGUGGUGCUCCUGGGCCAGAUGAACGAGUUGUUUCCUGACAGCAAGGACCUCGUGAACUUUGCCUCCUGGUUUGCAUUUGCCUUUCCCAACAUGCUGGUGAUGCUGGUGUUCGCCUGGCUGUGGCUCCAGUUUGUUUACAUGAGAUUCAAUUUUAAAAAGUCCUGGGGCUGCGGGCUAGAGAGCAAGAAAAACGAGAAGGCUGUCCUCAAGGUGCUGCAGGAGGAGUACCGGAAGCUGGGGCCCUUGUCCUUCGCGGAGAUCAACGUGCUGAUCUGCUUCUUCCUGCUGGUCAUCCUGUGGUUCUCCCGAGACCCCGGCUUCAUGCCCGGCUGGCUGACUGUCGCCUGGGUGGAGGGUGAGACAAAGUAAGUCUUGGAUUCAAUAGAAAUCGCUGGCUUAGGGCCAGGCGCGUUGGCUCACACAUGUAAUCCCAGCACUUUGGGAGGCUGAAGUGGGUGGGUCACUUGAGGUCAGGAGAUCGAGACCAUCCUGGCCAACAUGGUGAAACCCUGUCUCUACUAAAAAUACAAAAAAUUAGCGAGGCGUGGUGGCACAUGCCUGUAGUCCCAGCUACUUGGGAGGCUGAGGCAGGAGAAUCACUUGAACCCAGGAGGCAGAGGUUGCAGUGAGCCCAGAUCGUGCCACUGCACUCCAGCCUGGGCAACAGAGAGAGACUCCGUCUC
This 2502-nucleotide small RNA is filed under the name Pan troglodytes (chimpanzee). Its description in RNAcentral is "retained intron". Lineage: Eukaryota; Metazoa; Chordata; Mammalia; Primates; Hominidae. The record is from RNAcentral.